UAUCACACGCUUGUACGCCUCCUCCUGGACCGAUCCGCUCCCUCGCCCAGCCUCGCCGCCGGCCAUUGCUCUGCUCUCCCUGUUCAUAGCAGCCUAGCAGGGCUCCAUCCAAUCGGCCGCCUGGUUUUCGCUCUGAGCACGCUCGUCUCACCAUCUGGUCAAAGACGACCUCGUCGUCGUCUUCUCCUUCUCCACCCUUCUCAAGCUCUCCGCCUCCCCGGGGCCCGGGGUGUACAAUACCCCCAGUCCACUCAUCUCACCGAACCCAAACCCUUGCCACGGUUCCUCUGCUCCGACCCAGACCCACCAGAGCAGGCGACGGAGGGGCGCGGAUCGCCAAAAUGCCCUCCGCGCUCUACCUUCCCCUGCUCCUGCUGCUCGCCGCCUCGGCCGCUGCCGGCGCGGCGGCGGCGGCUGCAGAUGCCGCGGACCCGUCGGCGCACGAGGCGCUGUUCGACGCGUGGUGCGCGGAGCACGGCAGGGCCUACGCCACGCCCGAGGAGCGCGCGGCGCGGCUCGCGGUGUUCGCGGACAACGCGGCCUUCGUGGCGGCGCACAACGCCCGCGCCAACGCCAACGCCGCGGGCGGCGGGCCGGCCCCGUCCUACACGCUCGCGCUCAACGCCUUCGCGGACCUCACGCACGACGAGUUCCGCGCCGCGCGCCUCGGCCGCCUCGCGGCCGGCCGGGCCGGGGCGACGCUCCGGAGCGCCGCCGCGCCCGUGUACGGGGGCCUCGGCGGCGGCGUCGCCGUGGUGCCCGAUGCGGUGGACUGGAGGAAGAGCGGGGCCGUCACCAAGGUCAAGGACCAGGGCAGCUGCGGAGCCUGUUGGAGCUUUUCGGCUACAGGUGCUAUUGAAGGAAUAAACAAAAUCAAGACAGGCUCACUGGUCAGUCUUUCUGAACAGGAACUAAUUGACUGUGACAGAUCAUAUAAUAGCGGCUGUGGUGGUGGCCUCAUGGACUAUGCUUUUAAGUUUGUGGUUAAAAAUGGUGGAAUUGACACAGAGGAGGAUUAUCCCUUUCGUGAAGUGGAUGGAACAUGCAACAAGAACAAGCUGAAAAGGCGAGUUGUGACAAUUGAUGGUUACUCUGAUGUUCCUUCCAACAAAGAAGACUUGUUGCUCCAGGCUGUUGCCCAGCAACCAGUUAGUGUGGGAAUAUGUGGCAGCGCCAGAGCAUUCCAGCUAUACUCCCAGGGUAUCUUUGAUGGUCCAUGUCCAACAUCUCUUGAUCAUGCUGUGCUAAUCGUGGGUUAUGGCUCCGAAGGUGGCAAGGACUACUGGAUUGUGAAAAAUUCUUGGGGUGAAAGUUGGGGAAUGAAGGGCUACAUGCAUAUGCAUCGGAACACUGGUGAUUCCAGUGGUAUCUGUGGUAUAAACAUGAUGCCAUCAUUUCCUACCAAAACAAGCCCGAAUCCUCCUCCUUCACCAGGCCCUGGCCCAACCAAAUGCAGUCUGCUUACCUACUGUCCUGAAGGAUCAACUUGUUGUUGCUCAUGGCGCAUCUUGGGCUUUUGCCUUUCUUGGAGCUGCUGUGGACUGGACAAUGCAGUUUGCUGCAAGGAUAACCGUUACUGCUGCCCUCAUGACUAUCCUAUUUGCGAUACAGUUCAUGCCCAGUGUUUCAGGGGCAAUGGCAACUUUUCUGGUAUAGAAGGAAUCAAGAAGAAGCAGUCUUUCUCUAAAAUUCCCUCUUGGAAUGCUUGUAGACUUCAAGUUAUGUUACCAUGCUCUAACAAAAUCUUUCUUAUUUAUGUAUACUAGAGCAUCAAAGCCAUUAAUGGGAAGAGCCCCAUAGUGGUUGGACCAUGGGGAGGGACAGGAGGGUACCCUUGGGAUGACGGUGUGUACUCAACAAUACGCCAGAUUGUGAUCACCCAUGGUGCAGCUAUCGACUCUAUAAGGAUUGAGUAUGAUCUGAAAGGAAGAUCGGUGUGGUCAGAGACGCAUGGGGGCACUGAUGGAGGCUCCGAAACAGAUAAGGUAAAGCUAGAUUUUCCAGACGAAGUCCUUGUGUCUGUAAGUGGACACUAUGGUUCUGUCUGCGGGACUCCAGUGAUCAUAAGAUCACUGACAUUUCAGAGCAACAGUUCGAAGUAUGGACCUUUUGGCACUGAAGAUGGGACGCCUUUCUCACUUCCUGUGAGCAGUGGCAAGAUCAUUGGAUUUCAUGGAAGGUCUGGGUCAUAUCUCAACUCAAUAGGCUUCUAUCUGAAGCAAGUGCAUUUUCCAAAUCCAUUGAAUUCUCCAGCCACACCCAGAAGCCUCCCAACUGCACAUAGUAGAAAUGGAUACAGCUUCAGUGGAGGUGAUACUGGAGCUGACAUGGUCCUUGCUGUGCGAGAUAGAGGCGACAGCUAUGCUGUUUAUGCUAGCAAUCAACCCAAGCAGCAGUAUGCAAACCCAUCACCGGACUACAGUGAUGGAGCUGUCUGGAACAAGAUGAUUUCUUUCCCUAGUUACUAUGGCGACAGAGGAGCUGCAGCCAUCGGCAGCCCUCAGACUUACGGUCCCUGGGGUGGAAGUGGUGGCACCAUCUUUGAUGAUGGUGUUUACACUGGUGUGUGGCAGAUCAAUUUGACACGUGCAGUGGGAAUUUCAUCCAUGAAGGUGCUGUAUGAUCGAAACGGGCAGGCAGUAUGGGGCAACAAGCAUGGAUUCAGCGGAGGUGUUCCACCUGAUAAGAUAGUAUUCGAUUUCCCGUCAGAGGUGUUAACUCAUAUUACUGGGUUUUACGAUUCAGCAAUAAUCAUGGGCCCGACUGUGGUCAGAUCGCUCACAUUCCACACAAACAAGCGAACAUAUGGACCAUAUGGGGAUGAGUGUGGUACAUACUUCUCGACGAGUUUUACCAAUGGAAGGAUAGUAGGAUUUCAUGGCCGGGAGGGGUGGUACAUCGAUGGCAUUGGAGUUCAUGUGCAGGAAGGCAAGGUGGCGCCACAGCAAUUUGUUAGUAGACCAACGACGACCGCUACUAGCCCAUCAUACCAUUACAACAUGCGUACUCAAGCGCAGAGUGAUACGUAUACAAACAACGAGGUUGCUUAUGGCAUAGUGAAAGAACCGGUUCCAAUGGGACCAGGGCCAUGGGGCGGGGAGGGAGGCCGGCCAUGGGAUGACGGCGUCUACACCGGGGUGAAACAAAUCUACAUCAUGAGAGGUGCUUUGAUCGGGUCGAUUCAGAUCGAGUAUGACAGAGAUGGAUACUCCAUCUGGUCUGCAAGGCAUGGGAACAGCGGCCACAUAACCCACAGGGUGAAGCUGGAUUACCCCCACGAGGUGCUGACGUGCGUGUACGGCUACUACAACACGAGCAGGGAGGACGGGCCCCGGGUCCUGAGGUCGCUGACGUUCAUCACCAACCGGGGAAAGUAUGGCCCGUUCGGCGACGAGACCGGCGCCUACUUCUCGUCCGCGAUGACAGUGGGGAAGGUGGUGGGCUUCCACGGCCGCAGCGGGCAGCACCUGGACGCCAUCGGCGUGCACAUGCAGCACUGGAUCGUGGACAGGAGGCCUGCCCCCAAAUACGUACUGUCCAAGUACCUCUUCUGAUCGCCGGGGAGGUCAAAAUAGUAUGUAGUUUCAUCAGCUUAUAAGAGAUGUAAUUUUGGGCAUUGUUUGGUGGCAGCAUUUGAGUUCAUUUCCCCCUAUUCAGGGCGGACUUCUCGAGUGGUGAUUUUUACAUAACUAGGAAACGCUAUCAAAUUGAAUAGAUGUAAAUUGCCCGAUUACCUCCUCUCUGUUGAAUUCGAAUACAUGGUCAGUA
Molecule: RNA transcript, 3768 nt
Organism: Panicum virgatum (switchgrass)
Lineage: Eukaryota; Viridiplantae; Streptophyta; Magnoliopsida; Poales; Poaceae
Gene name: jacalin-related lectin 3-like
Exons: 11
Source: RefSeq, a predicted model, not a curated record